AGUGAACGCUGGCGGUAGGCCUAACACAUGCCAGUCGAACGGCAGCACAGUAAGCGCUUGCUCUUACGGGUGGCGAGUGGCGGACGGGUGAGGAAUACAUCGGAAUCUACUUUUUCGUGGGGGAUAACGUAGGGAAACUUACGCUAAUACCGCAUACGACCUACGGGUGAAAGCAGGGGAUCUUCGGACCUUGCGCGAUUGAAUGAGCCGAUGUCGGAUUAGCUAGUUGGCGGGGUAAAGGCCCACCAAGGCGACGAUCCGUAGCUGGUCUGAGAGGAUGAUCGGCCACACUGGAACUGAGACACGGUCCAGACUCCUACGGGAGGCAGCAGUGGGGAAUAUUGGACAAUGGGCGCAAGCCUGAUCCAGCCAUACCGCGUGGGUGAAGAAGGCCUUCGGGUUGUAAAGCCCUUUUAUUGGGAAAGAAAAGCAGCAGGUUAAUACCCCGCUGUUCUGACGGUACCCAAAGAAUAAGCACCGGCUAACUUCGUG
Molecule: ribosomal RNA, 492 nt
Filed under: uncultured bacterium
Lineage: Bacteria
Description: partial 16S ribosomal RNA
Rfam family: Bacterial small subunit ribosomal RNA
Source: RNAcentral